RNAcentral lists this transfer RNA (71 nucleotides) under Marmota monax (woodchuck). RNAcentral's name for it is "tRNA.Ala". It matches the Rfam family "tRNA". Rfam says of the family: Transfer RNA (tRNA) molecules are approximately 80 nucleotides in length. Their secondary structure includes four short double-helical elements and three loops (D, anti-codon, and T loops). Further hydrogen bonds mediate the characteristic L-shaped molecular structure. tRNAs have two regions of fundamental functional importance: the anti-codon, which is responsible for specific mRNA codon recognition, and the 3' end, to which the tRNAs corresponding amino acid is attached (by aminoacyl-tRNA synthetases). tRNAs cope with the degeneracy of the genetic code in two manners: having more than one tRNA (with a specific anti-codon) for a particular amino acid; and 'wobble' base-pairing, i.e. permitting non-standard base-pairing at the 3rd anti-codon position. The record is from RNAcentral. Lineage: Eukaryota; Metazoa; Chordata; Mammalia; Rodentia; Sciuridae.
GGGGUUGUGACUCAGUGGUAGAGCGCUUGCCUAGCAUGUAUGAGGCCCUGGGUUCGAUCCUCAGCACCACA